RNAcentral lists this ribosomal RNA (380 nucleotides) under uncultured eukaryote. RNAcentral's name for it is "partial 18S ribosomal RNA". It matches the Rfam family "Eukaryotic small subunit ribosomal RNA", at positions 592 to 976 of the family's 1831-position model. The record is from RNAcentral.
CAAUAGCGUAUAUUAAAGUUGCUGCAGUUAAAAAGCUCGUAGUUGCAUUUCCGAGGCAAGGGAUUAGUCCGACCUUUGGUGGGUAUUUAAUCCUCUUGCCUCGUCCUUGAGUGGUGCUUCUUGGUAUUAAGUUAUCGAGGAGAUAGCCGCUCAUCGUUUACUGUGAGAAAAUUAGAGUGUUCAAAGCAGGCUUAUGCCGUUGAAUAUAUUAGCAUGGAAUAAUAAGAUAGGACCUCGGUACUAUUUUGUUGGUUUGAGAACCAAGGUAAUGAUGAAUAGGGACAGUUGGGGGUAUUCGUAUUCAGUUGUCAGAGGUGAAAUUCUUAGAUUUACGGAAGACGAACUACUGCGAAANCANNNACCAAGGAUGUUUUCAUNAA